RNAcentral lists this ribosomal RNA (492 nucleotides) under uncultured bacterium. Its description in RNAcentral is "partial 16S ribosomal RNA". It matches the Rfam family "Bacterial small subunit ribosomal RNA", at positions 29 to 507 of the family's 1533-position model. The record is from RNAcentral.
AGUGAACGCUGGCGGUAGGCCUAACACAUGCAAGUCGAACGGCAGCACAGUAAGAGCUUGCUCUUACGGGUGGCGAGUGGCGGACGGGUGAGGAAUACAUCGGAAUCUACUUUUUCGUAGGGGAUAACGUAGGGAAACUUACGCUAAUACCGCAUACGACCUACGGGUGAAAGCAGGGGAUCUUCGGACCUUGCGCGAUUGAAUGAGCCGAUGUCGGAUUAGCUAGUUGGCGGGGUAAAGGCCCACCAAGGCGACGAUCCGUAGCUGGUCUGAGAGGAUGAUCAGCCACACUGGAACUGAGACACGGUCCAGACUCCUACGGGAGGCAGCAGUGGGGAAUAUUGGACAAUGGGCGCAAGCCUGAUCCAGCCAUACUGCGUGGGUGAAGAAGGCCUUCGGGUUGUAAAGCCCUUUUGUUGGGAAAGAAAAGCAGCAGGUUAAUACCCCGCUGUUCUGACGGUACCCAAAGAAUAAGCACCGGCUAACUUCGUG